CCGCGUGAGUGAUGAAGGUUUUCGGAUCGUAAACUCUGUUGUUAGGGAAGAACAAGUAUCGGAGUAACUGCCGGUACCUUGACGGUACCUAACCAGAAAGCCACGGCUAACUACGUGCCAGCAGCCGCGGUAAUACGUAGGUGGCAAGCGUUGUCCGGAAUUAUUGGGCGUAAAGCGCGCGCAGGCGGUCCUUUAAGUCUGAUGUGAAAGCCCACGGCUCAACCGUGGAGGGUCAUUGGAAACUGGGGGACUUGAGUGCAGAAGAGGAGAGUGGAAUUCCACGUGUAGCGGUGAAAUGCGUAGAGAUGUGGAGGAACACCAGUGGCGAAGGCGACUCUCUGGUCUGUAACUGACGCUGAGGCGCGAAAGCGUGGGGAGCGAACAGGAUUAGAUACCCUGGUAGUCCACGCCGUAAACGAUGAGUGCUAAGUGUUAGAGGGUUUCCGCCCUUUAGUGCUGCAGCAAACGCAUUAAGCACUCCGCCUGGGGAGUACGGCCGCAAGGCUGAAACUCAAAGGAAUUGACGGGGGCCCGCACAAGCGGUGGAGCAUGUGGUUUAAUUCGAAGCAACGCGAAGAACCUUACCAGGUCUUGACAUCCUCUGACAACCCUAGAGAUAGGGCGUUCCCCUUCGGGGGACAGAGUGACAGGUGGUGCAUGGUUGUCGUCAGCUCGUGUCGUGAGAUGUUGGGUUAAGUCCCGCAACGAGCGCAACCCUUG
This 720-nucleotide ribosomal RNA is filed under the name uncultured Bacillus sp. RNAcentral's name for it is "bacterial SSU rRNA". It matches the Rfam family "Bacterial small subunit ribosomal RNA", at positions 397 to 1107 of the family's 1533-position model. The record is from RNAcentral. Lineage: Bacteria; Bacillati; Bacillota; Bacilli; Caryophanales; Bacillaceae.